AACCAAAAGAACAAACCCUAAUUCAUUCUUUCCACUUCAGCCGCACCUCUCCUUCUUCUCCACUCUUUCUCUACGGUCUUUCUCCCUCAUCACUAUCUUCGUCUGCUUGACGUCGGAGCACUGCUAUCGUCGCCCUUUUCUCUCCCUUUGUCCAGUCACUGUGCCACAGACAAUGAAACUCUCAACUUCAGCCAUAGCCCAACCAUAAUCAAGCAUCGUCUUCCACCGCUCUCCCUUCUCGGCGAACUUUUCUCUCCUCUCUGGAUAGCGCAGAGACCAGUGCCGCUACCACUUCCUCUAUUCUCCCACAAGACAACCACCGAUAAGCCGCCAUGGAUGCCUGCAACCCGAUGCUGCCGUUUUUUUAGUCGCCGCUACCAUCUCAAAAAUCAUCUAGCCAAGCGCUCCGGUCAGUUUUGGCAAUGAUGAGUUCGUAAGAGCCCAUCGUAGGCUAUUACAAUAGGUCGAGAUCCAAGUCCAAGUGAGUUACAUUUGCACGUUCAUACACAUAAUCAUGAUGAAAGUAUUCUAGAGGCUUAGACAUGACCUCACAUCUAGAGUUUGAUAGUAGAUCUUGAUCCAAGGGUGAACACUAUGUCUCCAGGCUGCUAUGGGUCAUCUUAUCUAUUCUUGUCCAUCUUUCGGGCAAUAAAACAUUCUUUAUUUACUUUAUUUUUGAAUAUCUCUUUAGACACGAUCUUUGUUAGUAGUUCUUGUACGAUGACUUUUGAGUCUUGAGAAUUUUAGUAAGUAGUUUGUUUGACUUUUUCAUCAAUAAUGAUUAGUCCUGGAUUAUUAUUAUUAUGUUGAUUUUAUAAUAAUAUCUUCUUAAUAUUGAUUAAGUGAUUGAGUAAUGGUUUGGUUUGAUGGUUCUCCCACAGGAAGAUUAGUGUGGUUGCCACUCAGGGCCAUUUGGGUCGUGAAAACUAUUUCAACUAACAUGUGUCAUUUUUCAUGCCAAUCACCAAAAUCAUUCCAACAAUGUUCCUUGGAAGACCCUGCUUCCUUUUGGUCUCUGGACCAUUUGGAAAAAUAAAUACAAUGACACUUUCAAUAAUAAGUUUGAUAAGCCCGUCUUUGUACAAACUUGCUCAGAAACUGUGGAAUGCAUCCAUCUGAACAAAUAUCAUCCUUUCUUCAACAAAAUGAUCAUUGUAAAUAUAAAGCGGAACUCCCCUGUCAGGGGUUACUACAAAUCGAACACUGAUGGCUCAUGCCUUGGUAAUCCUGACAAAGGUGGAAUUGGUGGAGUUUUCAGGAAUUACAUGGGUGAUUGGGAUUUGGGUUUUCACAAGAGCAAUCACAAAGCUACUAAUAUACAGAUGAAACUCUAAAUGAAGGUCUUAAACUAGUCAAGGCUAAGGAGGUUGGGAUGUCCGGUGGUGCAUCAUAAUUACAGAGAGCAAAAUAGGGCCGCAGAUGCCUUGGCCAAAAAAUAGGCAUGUUCAACAUAUUUUGCAACAACCUAAGAUUUUGUAGUUCAUCCCAUGUAUGUUCAUGCAUUAGUAUGAGCAUAGAUAUAUAUAAUUUUUGAAAGAAGGAUAAACUCUACUACUAAUCCUGGAAUGGAAUGUCCCAUGUACUUAAAUAAUUAAUUUGGACUAACUUAGCCGGGUAUUGCUUUUUGUUUUUAUGUAAUAAACUAUAUUUUACUAAAUACAAGUAUCCAGUUAAUCAAAAAAAAAAAUCAGAAUUGAACAAC
Long non-coding RNA from Capsicum annuum, 1702 nucleotides. RefSeq lists it as uncharacterized. The record is from RefSeq and is a predicted model, not a curated record. The transcript has 4 exons. NCBI's taxonomy places the organism in Eukaryota, Viridiplantae, Streptophyta, Magnoliopsida, Solanales, Solanaceae.